CACUGUGUAAAAAUAACAACAAACAAAAAGUGAAUGCAAAAGUGCAUAAAUAUUUAUUUUACGUGUUUGAUGUGUGUGUCGGGGCGUGGUCUGCAGUGCCGCUGCAGGGGAGGUGGACCCACGGGUGUAAAGUCUGUGCUCUCUUGGCUGUUUUUUGGGUGUGUGUGGGGCUAUGAGUUGAAAAGCUACAGCUGCCUGUGUGGGUACACCAACCAUGUGUGAAAAGUGGUCCAUAACGUAAUGCUUCAAUGCAUGUUCAUGCAAACAUUGUCGGGGUCUGCCGUGAUACAAUGGGACUUCUGCUCAUGAACCUCUGUGCACAGCGUCUGCAAAUCGGGGCUGUACGAAGUCACCUCAUCUUUACCCAAAACUGUAAGCUGUCAUCUGUGAGGCGCGAGCAUGUGUUUGUUUUAUCAUAAUUCAUGGUGGAGAAUGGCUGCUCUGCUGAGUUUUGCUCUCUGUAGCCGUAUGAAUGGCAAACUACAGUGAUUAGCAGCGGCAUAGGCACACAUAAAAUUUCUUCUGAAAUUUUCGCUUUCUAGUUCUUUUCAUCUUUUCUUAUUACCCACAGCUACAUCCACUUCUGUCAGGCCUAGGCUGCUCACUAGGGCUGGGUAUCAUCACUGAUUUCUAUAAUCCAUUCGAUUCCGGUUCUCAAAGUCCUGAUUCGAUUCAGUUUUCCUCAGACAGUCAGAAAUAUUAUAAUUCUGAUGAAAUCUCACAGUACUGAUACAUGUGAGAUUUCAUCAGAAUUGUGAACAUCACAGCAGAUGCCUUUGUGUGAAAGUAACUGAGAAUAAAACACAGAAAAACAUGAAGGAGAUUUUUCUGGCCUGACUUUUUAUAGCAGAUAACCUUAAAAAUAUUCUGCAAUGUUCUGCAUAUAAAGUAUAUAAAGUUUAAAUUUCUUCAGUAUUGAACAGCAGAAAAAAUAGGCUUUCUUGUCCGAGGUCGUUUACGUGAAGAAAAGAAAAAGACAGCGGCCGACAGCGCUGUAAACAAUGGUAGGCUGGUGGUUAAUAAGCGGAUGAAUAAUGCAGAAAACAGAGAUUUGAGACAGGAAACUGUUCUUGAAGUACAGAGAGAGAGAGAGAGAGCUGUGCAUGAAGUGUGAUUUUAAUAGUCGUGGAAGCAAAACUGCAAAACGCAUGACAACAUUGAUCAAACGUGAAGCUCAGUUUGCUGCUUCUUUUGCUGCUGGCUCAGUGAAUUUUGGUUGGAGAGAGACAAAACCUGCAGCUCAGAAUCAGCGCAAAAAGACAUAAACACAGCGUGGACCCGACGCAUCAGAAUCGCUGAGCUCCGACAGCGUGUCCGUGUUUGGGCCGUCGGGUGAGAAAGCCGAGAAAGACAAAGCUGAUUCUGAUGCGUCGGGUCCGCUCUGUGUUUACGUCUUUGUGUGGAAUCCGUGUACCUGCUCUCAUUUGCUGUUUGGUGGUUGUUGAAAUAGUUUUGUGAGCUUUAAUCUGAGAAUCUGCCGUUUCUGGCAAAACACAGUUAUAUUUAAAAGUCAAUUCAGGAUUUAAUGAAUCGAUAUCGCUUUAUUCAAGCUACUCACCUCCCUCUUCCACCUGCACUUUCAACUGGACCACGGCCAAUCAGAGAGGUCCCGCCCCUUACUAUCUCUGAUUGGUUUAGUCCACGAUAGGGCAUAAUGUGUGUCUGUUGUUGACCACACGGAGAGUUGCAGAGAUUUUUUUUGUUUUUUUGUUACCGGAACAGUUGGUUGCACAGAUGCGACCAAAUAUUUUUUUUAGUCGCACAACUGAAAAAUUUGGUCACACUCUAUAGCCCUGCUUUAAUUCUGUUAGCAAGUACUAAAGCCAUAAUCUCAUAGUCAUUAUUGAGCAGACAGAUGGGUCUCCAAUUAUCAAUAAGAAGUAAGUCUUUGUUUGGCUUUGGAAUAAGUGUUAUGAGACCCUGAGUAAGAGUAGGAGGGAGGGUGUUAUUCUCUAUACUUUCUAUGAAAACCUGCAGUAAGAACGGAGCACUUCCUCUCCAUGGCCUUAUCAACAUCCAAUCUCCAGACUUCAGACUCUGCUCCUGAGGAGAAACAGAAUCAUCUGGCAGAUCAUUUGUUCUCAUGACUUCUUUACUUUUAAACAUUUUGAGCAUCCAAUCUGCUAAUGUGCUCUCUCUUCUGCGUUUCUAUCAUCACUACAGAAGACUAAAACUCUAAAUACUCUACCAUAUAUAAUCUCAAAGAGUCAGACCGUUCUCUGUUGGAGUAAUCCUCAUGUACAUCUUAACUAGUUCUAUACAGUCUAACCAUGUCCUGCCUGUCUCUUCCAUUGACUUCCUAAGUCUUAGCUUUACUGUGCCGUUAGUUCUCUUUGUGGGUGAUAUGAACAAUGAUGUUUUAGUGUUAUCCCUAGAUGCUGUGGCAUUAAUCCAAUCACUUCAUUUACAAAGUGUGGACCAUCAUCACUAUAAAUAGUCUCUGGAAUCCCGUGUUCCGAGAUGAUAUUCUUACAUAUUGCUUUGGCAACCGAAAUGGCAUCUGCUUCCCUAGUUGAUUGAUUGAUUGAUAUACCUUUAUUAGUCCUAGAGCUGGGCGAUAUAUCGAGUUUUUUAAAAAAAAUAUCGAUAUAUUUUUAUACGAGAUAUAAGAUGUGACAAUGGCUGUGUCCGAAUUCAGGGGAAGGAUGCUCAUAAGGACACUACCUACCUACGUCACAAGGUAGUGUCCUUAGACGGACGGGUAGUCAGGAAGUGAGCGGCUUGGACAGCCCCCUUUUUUUCUCCAUAGAAACUUUAUUGAACAAACAAUGAGUAUCCAACAUAACAGAUGGGCUGUGGACAGCCUCCUAGCCUGCAACUCCGCCCUUACUUGCGUGUUUUUCCGGACGCUAGCGCCACAGCGCGAAAACUUUAAAAUGGACCCAGAAAUGUCGCUCUGUUGUUUGGACAAUUUUAAUUUUUGAGGAGCUAGAAAAACCUUAUCGUCGUCGCCCGCACGUUUUGUACCUUAGGCUCAUCAGAGACAAACAUGUCCAGGUAAAAUAAUUUCCUUUAAUCUACACGCAUUUAGGAAUUACUUAGCUAAUUACACGGAUAAUUGAAAUAUUGCCAGCGUUGUGCCAAAAAAGUGUUCGCCUGCCAAAACUGAUUUCCAAUGUUUCCGAGUGUAAUAUGUGUAAUAUCUUUAUGUAUGUUGGUAAAUAGACUUCGGUGAACAUGGUUUACAAAGGGGUUUUAUAUAUACAAUAAUUACCUGUUGUUAAAGUAUCUUUAUAACUCUGGUUAUAAUGUAGGUACAAUCGAUAUAUUUGUUGCGCUGUCUGCUGUCCUCUUGGCCAGAUUACUCUUAAAAAAUAAAUUUCUAAUGUCAAUAAGAUUUUUUUUUUUUUAACUGGAUGAAUAAAGGAUAUAUAAAAGUCACUGCCAAAAACUGAUUGCAGCUUCUACCUUGUUACAGGAAUGUUGCUGGUGGCUCAAAGUGACUUGAUAUCACCAAUGAGGGACACAUUUGACAUGUUUCACAUAUUAUAGACCAACAAGUUAUUCAUAGCAGGUUAAAUACGAGCAAUCAGUUUAGGGCAAAAACCGGAAAUCGUUUUUUGGCAGACGAUCAUUUUUUUGGCACAACAUCGGUCAUUCUCACACAUGUACUGUAUCAUAUAAAAUAUAUAAACUAAAUAUCUUUGAAACGUAUAGAAUCUAAUCUUUUGUUUGUUUGUUUUUUUACAUAGCACUUUAUCAAACUGUUGUCUGCUACAGAGUUACAAGUAUUAUACUAAUAAUAUAGCAUCCACCAUCUCCUGCUUGCAUAUUUCUGUAAACAUCUUAGUGGUGUGGCAGCCACGAGUGAGCCCUGCAAACCCUGUGGAUGGACGAUGCAGUGGACAGUGGGAGGAAGCAUCCUAAAGCUCUCUUUGCAGACCACCCUGUGUGAUUCUCCACUUGCCCACCAGAAAAGACAAACCGCAGGUGGCUGAGUCGCUUCGUCAUCGCUGUCGUUUUGGUCACCCACUGCUGCGCUUGGCCCUGGAGAGAGAGGAAAUUAGGACAGGAGGCUUAAUGGAAGGCAUCUAUCCUAUCACCUCAUCCAUGAGGGCAAACCAGGGCCAAGUAGCAGCAGUGGGCUUCCCACUGACCCCCUCUCCUGAGCCUGGAUACUUGCAAUCCUAAAGGCAGAGGAAAUCAAAAAUGACAGCAGGCAAAUAAAAACACCACAACAACUCUUAGUAAUUGCACAUUUAUUAACUUGUGUUCUUAAGAAUUAUCUUCUUGAUAACACACAUAUGUACUUUGUAUUCUUUAAAGUUAUCUCGUGUCUUCUGGCCUGCAAGGGGGUGACUUUCCCCUGCAGGCCCAUCUUCUCCAGAAUUGUCCUGAUCACACACAACAAAUAAGAGAAGAAAGGACACCAUGGCAACUAUGUUAAUCCCUAAGCCCAAAAGUUUUCACAGCAGAACACCAGAGGAACACCGUCUGGACAUCACAGGUUCUGUACAGCAGCGGUCCGUGAGUCGUUUGGUACCGGGCCACAGAGUUAAGGCUCCGGUGUGAAAUUUAUGGUUUUCAGGGGUUUUAUCAUUAACUCGGUUUCCCUGAGUCUUUCCCUUGUUGUAGUGGUGUGUCUUAUUUUGAAAGAAAUAUUUACACGUUACCAUAGCGACCAGAAAGCAUUAAGCGGCAGAGAGGAGGAUGUUACUGUCAAUAUUGGCGCAUUUUCAGGAGGACGCUGCUAAUAAAGUUACACAAUUACACAGUACAUUCACGUUUAUUAUUAUAUUUACAAAAUACCACAGUUUUUGUCUUGGUUGGAUCAUUUUAUGUGGUUGUAUUUAUCCGCGAUACCUUAAAGGCCGGUCCGUGUCUGACAUAAACCGGUCUGUGGCUCAAAAAAGGUCGG
Long non-coding RNA from Oreochromis aureus, 4858 nucleotides. The record is from Ensembl. Lineage: Eukaryota; Metazoa; Chordata; Actinopteri; Cichliformes; Cichlidae.